RNAcentral lists this long non-coding RNA (267 nucleotides) under Mytilus galloprovincialis (Mediterranean mussel). Lineage: Eukaryota; Metazoa; Mollusca; Bivalvia; Mytilida; Mytilidae. The record is from RNAcentral.
CGUCAAAUUACAACACUUUGUUCGAGUGUAGUGGAAUACAAGCAGAAACCAGUUAGUUUGUAAAAUAGUAAUAUGAAACCGAGUGUAAACUGGUUCCUGGCUGAUUACUACACAAUGAUCAUGCAUAAUGAUAACACAAGCAGAUUCCAGUUUGUAUUGAAAAUAGUAAAUACGAAACCAAGCGCGGUAGGCAGAGAAAUGUAAUGAAGUUCAGGUCGCCAGUAAUGGAACAAUGACUGCGUCAUUUUCCAAAAAAAAAAAAAAGAA